Molecule: ribosomal RNA, 441 nt
Filed under: Priestia megaterium
Lineage: Bacteria; Bacillati; Bacillota; Bacilli; Caryophanales; Bacillaceae
Description: bacterial SSU rRNA
Rfam family: Bacterial small subunit ribosomal RNA
Source: RNAcentral
CACUUACAGAUGGGCCCGCGGUGCAUUAGCUAGUUGGUGAGGUAACGGCUCACCAAGGCAACGAUGCAUAGCCGACCUGAGAGGGUGAUCGGCCACACUGGGACUGAGACACGGCCCAGACUCCUACGGGAGGCAGCAGUAGGGAAUCUUCCGCAAUGGACGAAAGUCUGACGGAGCAACGCCGCGUGAGUGAUGAAGGCUUUCGGGUCGUAAAACUCUGUUGUUAGGGAAGAACAAGUACAAGAGUAACUGCUUGUACCUUGACGGUACCUAACCAGAAAGCCACGGCUAACUACGUGCCAGCAGCCGCGGUAAUACGUAGGUGGCAAGCGUUAUCCGGAAUUAUUGGGCGUAAAGCGCGCGCAGGCGGUUUCUUAAGUCUGAUGUGAAAGCCCACGGCUCAACCGUGGAGGGUCAUUGGAAACUGGGGAACUUGAGUGC